Acanthosepion pharaonis is the source of this 99-nucleotide non-coding RNA. Lineage: Eukaryota; Metazoa; Mollusca; Cephalopoda; Sepiida; Sepiidae. The record is from the annotation of a GenBank genome assembly.
UCUGAAGCACCAGUUCUUGUACAAUCACCAAAACUAAGCAAUUUUGAGCCUGGUCAGUACCUAGAUGAGUGACUGCUUGGGAAUACCAGGUGAUGCAAG